GCGUAGGCGGAUUAUCAAGUCUCUUGUGAAAUCCAACGGCUUAACCGUUGAACUGCUUGGGAAACUGGUAGUCUAGAGUGAGGGAGAGGCAGAUGGAAUUGGUGGUGUAGGGGUAAAAUCCGUAGAUAUCACCAAGAAUACCCAUUGCGAAGGCGAUCUGCUGGAACUUAACUGACGCUAAGGCGCGAAAGCGUGGGGAGCAAACAGGAUUAGAUACCCUGGUAGUCCACGCCCUAAACGAUGUACACUAGUUGUUGGGGUGCUAGUCAUCUCAGUAAUGCAGCUAACGCAUUAAGUGUACCGCCUGGGGAGUACGGUCGCAAGAUUAAAACUCAAAGGAAUAGACGGGGACCCGCACAAGCGGUGGAGCAUGUGGUUUAAUUCGAAGAUACGCGAAGAACCUUACCUGGGCUUGAUAUCCUAAGAACCUUUUAGAGAUAAGAGGGUGCUAGCUUGCUAGAACUUAGAGACAGGUGCUGCACGGCUGUCGUCAGCUCGUGUCGUGAGAUGUUGGGUUAAGUCCCGCAACGAGCGCAACCCACGUAUUUAGUUGCUAACGGUUUGGCCGAGCACUCUAAAUAGACUGCCUUCGUAAGGAGGAGGAAGGUGUGGACGACGUCAAGUCAUCAUGGCCCUUAUGCCCAGGGCGACACACGUGCUACAAUGGCAUAUACAAUGAGACGCAAUACCGCGAGGUGGAGCAAAUCUAUAAAAUAUGUCCCAGUUCGGAUUGUUCUCUGCAACUCGAGAGCAUGAAGCCGGAAUCGCUAGUAAUCGUAGAUCAGCCAUGCUACGGUGAAUACGUUCCCGGGUCU
Molecule: ribosomal RNA, 815 nt
Filed under: uncultured Campylobacter sp.
Lineage: Bacteria; Pseudomonadati; Campylobacterota; Epsilonproteobacteria; Campylobacterales; Campylobacteraceae
Description: bacterial SSU rRNA
Rfam family: Bacterial small subunit ribosomal RNA
Source: RNAcentral